Molecule: RNA transcript, 853 nt
Organism: Myotis lucifugus (little brown bat)
Lineage: Eukaryota; Metazoa; Chordata; Mammalia; Chiroptera; Vespertilionidae
Gene: DPY30
Gene name: dpy-30, histone methyltransferase complex regulatory subunit
Exons: 6
Source: RefSeq, a predicted model, not a curated record
AGCGGGAAGGCAGCUUCCUGGCCCCAGGCCCGCUGGGGAGUUCUGCGCAAGCGCGUUAGUCGUGCGACAACCGUCACUUACGGCCGAAACGGUUUGUGCGGGGAGUUGGCGGCGCGCUGCAGCUCUUAGGGACGGACGGCUCGGGCGCGGGACUGGUAUCCGGGGACUGACUCGCAGGGUCCGCCAUGGAGCCAGAGCAGAUGCUGGAGGGACAGACGCAGGUUGCAGAAAAUCCUCACUCCGAGUACGGUCUCACAGAUAACGUCGAGAGGAUAGUAGAAAAUGAGAAGAUUAAUGCAGAAAAGUCAUCAAAACAGAAAGUGGAUCUACAGUCUUUGCCAACUCGUGCCUACCUGGAUCAGACAGUUGUGCCUAUCUUAUUACAGGGACUUGCUGUGCUUGCAAAGGAAAGGAUGUUUCCCCCAAAAUGUAUACACACUUUGAAUAAUUAUUAAUUCCGAUGGGUUAAACCAGAAAAGGAAGAAACAUCAAUUGAGCUAUCAGAAAAAAACCACCAAAUCCCAUUGAAUUUCUAGCAUCAUAUCUUUUAAAAAACAAGGCACAGUUUGAAGAUCGAAACUGAUUGGGAAGAACAGAAAAAUUUGGUUUCUACUAUAGAUUUACAUGAUUAAGAGGCAGCUUUAAUUGCCAUGAUUUCCCCCCACCCCUUUUUGGAAGUAUAAGAACCUUCAGGACAACAACUUGUUCUUGGAGUUGCAGAAGAAAACAUAUUUCCCUUAUUUUGAUUUAAUCACCAUACUUAUAUUUAAAGAGUGUAUUAUGUGCAAUUUUUUCUCAGAUUGUCUUUAACUUUGUUUUUAAAAUGACCUUCAAAAUAAACUGUUAAAUGUCA